GCAUACAAUUUGCGGCCCACCGUGAGUUUUCUUUGUGCCUUCAAUUCGAGUCCAGCGCUACCCCAAAAGUUCAUUUUUCCUGCCAAGAGCAACGACACCAAUUCGCUUUUGUGCACACUGCCUUCCACACACACACGUUUCUUUGUUCUGCAUUUUUUCAGCUUCAUAGGGGCGGAUCUUUUGCAUCUGUGGACACUGCGUUCCAAGUUACACACACACACACGUUUCCUUGUGCUUAUUUUUCCAGCCUCAUAGGCGCAUCUUUUGCAUCUGUGGACACACACGUAUAACCACAGCUUCUCCGUUUACGGUGUUUUGUAUGUAAGUUAAAAUAAGUUAUUUCAGCAGUUCCUAUUCAUAAGAUGAUAUUUCCAAAUUAUAAUAAAUUUUUUAAUUUAAGCGUUACUAAUUUCAGUGGGGUUAAAGUAAAGUAAUUUGACGGAUUUAGCUGCUAUUUAUUGGCUCAGUCAUAUUUGGUACAUUUCUGUGCCCGUCAGUUAAAUUAGCUUAAGUGAAUUUAGAGGGUUUAACAUUUAAUUAAGAGAUGAUAAGAUAAGAGAUAUACCUAUAAUAAGAUUAAUUAAUUACUUUAAAGGGAAAAUGGCCUAUCUCAGCUUAAGCUAACUGACGGGUACAGAUUUAUU
This is a long non-coding RNA of Rhagoletis zephyria (snowberry fruit fly), 644 nucleotides long. RefSeq lists it as uncharacterized. The record is from RefSeq and is a predicted model, not a curated record. Lineage: Eukaryota; Metazoa; Arthropoda; Insecta; Diptera; Tephritidae.